UUGGAGCUUGCUCCGAAAGAUUAGCGGCGGACGGGUGAGUAACACGUGGGCAACCUGCCCUGCAGAUGGGGAUAACUCCGGGAAACCGGGGCUAAUACCGAAUAAUCAAUACUUCCGCAUGGAAGUAUUCUAAAAGACGGUUUCGGCUGUCACUGCAGGAUGGGCCCGCGGCGCAUUAGCUUGUUGGUGGGGUAAUGGCCUACCAAGGCGACGAUGCGUAGCCGACCUGAGAGGGUGAACGGCCACACUGGGACUGAGACACGGCCCAGACUCCUACGGGAGGCAGCAGUGGGGAAUAUUGCGCAAUGGGCGAAAGCCUGACGCAGCGACGCCGCGUGCGGGAUGAAUGCCUUCGGG
RNAcentral lists this ribosomal RNA (357 nucleotides) under uncultured bacterium. Its description in RNAcentral is "bacterial SSU rRNA". It matches the Rfam family "Bacterial small subunit ribosomal RNA", at positions 73 to 422 of the family's 1533-position model. The record is from RNAcentral.